UUUCCGUAGGUGAACCUGCGGAAGGAUCAUUACAGUAGUCCCCCAGAUUGCCGCUAGGCCUCCUGGGUAACCUACCACCCUUUGUUUAUUGCACGUUGUUGCCUUGGCAAGCCUGCCCGCGGGCUGCUGCCUCCGGCCGGCGAGCGCUUUUAAGAGAACCUAAACUAUGUCUGUCGAUAUUGUGUGUGUACUAUAUAAUAGUUAAAACUUUCAACAACGGAUCCCUUGGUUCUG
This 234-nucleotide unclassified non-coding RNA is filed under the name plant metagenome. RNAcentral's name for it is "partial contains small subunit ribosomal RNA, internal transcribed spacer 1, and 5.8S ribosomal RNA". The record is from RNAcentral.